Molecule: ribosomal RNA, 437 nt
Filed under: uncultured bacterium
Lineage: Bacteria
Description: bacterial SSU rRNA
Rfam family: Bacterial small subunit ribosomal RNA
Source: RNAcentral
UGAGGAAUAUUGGUCAAUGGGCGAGAGCCUGAACCAGCCAAGUCGCGUGAGGGAAUAAGGCCCUACGGGUCGUAAACCUCUUUUGCCGGGGAGCAAGUCGGGGCUCGUGAGCCCUGAUGGAGAGUACCCGGAGAAAAAAUGCAUCGGCUAACUCCGUGCCAGCAGCCGCGGUAAUACGGAGGAUGCGAGCGUUAUCCGGAUUUAUUGGGUUUAAAGGGUGCGUAGGCGGGCUGGCAAGUCGGCGGUCAAAUGUCGGGGCUCAACCCCGGCCAUGCCGUCGAAACUGCCGGUCUUGAGUGAGCGAGAAGCAGGCGGAAUGCGUGGUGUAGCGGUGAAAUGCAUAGAUAUCACGCAGAACCCCGAUUGCGAAGGCAGCCUGCCGGCGCUCAACUGACGCUGAGGCACGAAAGUGCGGGGAUCGAACAGGAUUAGAUACC